This 3810-nucleotide long non-coding RNA is filed under the name Capsicum annuum. RNAcentral's name for it is "long non-coding RNA (CANN_LNC003996)". Lineage: Eukaryota; Viridiplantae; Streptophyta; Magnoliopsida; Solanales; Solanaceae. The record is from RNAcentral.
AAAAAGUUUCAUCAGUUCAUAGAGCGGGUAAGGAUUCCUGCCGCCAUGAAAAUUCAGAAAAAUCCGACGGCUCCGGGUAAUCAAACAACCCGCCGACUGUUAAAAAGUCGCCGUUGCUAUUACCUCCGUCAUUAUCUCCUUCCCUGAGGUCAUGCUCCAUGCCAAAAUCGAACGUGUCGUAAUUAGGCAUAUCGUCCUCAAAUCUCGCCAUGUUAACGAAUUCAGCUGCCUCAGGCAUGACGUCAGAUUCGGCAUUAACGUUGUGAUCGUUUACCGGAGAUAUUGUCGGAGGUAGACCGAGCUCAUCGUCGGAAGCUUCGAGAAGGUAACCGAGGUCCGUUUGAGAUUCGCCGGAUUCCGAUGGAUUCAGAUCGAGAACGGUCUGAGAAUCGUCGUGAAGAGGUGAGUGAUGAAGGAUUUCUUCCUCAAAACUCUUCAUGACGGAAUCCAGAUCCUGAAUCUCCGGCGGACAUUCGUUCAGAGCAUCAGGCUCAUCUAAGAUAUCCAAUAUAUCUUCUCUUAUCUGCUUAGCCUCCGGCGAAUCCAGGUACACAUCUUUUCGCACGUCAUCGGAAUCCGAUGAGUUGACUCGGUUCAACUCAGACGAGUCGGGAGCGGUCUUCUCUAGCUCUGAUGAGUUAACUCGCUUGGGCUCAGGCGAGUCAUCAAAUGCGUCCAAUCCUGACUCAACUCGGGUCCGCUUAUUACUGUUAUUAUUAUUCUCAGUUUUCAACUCUUUUUUCAUGUUGAGACAAAAGCCUUAACAACUGAUGUGAAGAGAUUUCUCAAAAUUAUAAAAUCCAAGAAUAGGACAAUAGGUGGGGGCUAGUGGGGUAACUACUCUAGGCACAAAGUCUAGAAAGAUAAAAUGAGCUUUGGAAAAAAAAAGAGGGAAGGGCAAAAGAGAGAUAUUAGCUUUUGGUAGUUGUAAGUCCUUGUUUGGUUAUAGGAAAGAAGAAAGAGAGAGAAGAGGGAAAAAUAUUUUGAAGCAAUGAAGGAGAUAAGGAAGGGGAAGAUAGUUUAUAUAGUGGGAGAGAAAAGGAGGGGGACCAAAGGGUGAGAGGGAUAAGAUUUGGUUGUGUGUGUGAGAGAAGGAAGAGAGAGAAGGGGAGAAACGAGACAAAAGAUGCUGUUUUCAGGUUGAGAUGCAAAGGUGGAGAGAAGUGGAGCUGGCAAUUAUAGUAGUCCCAUCUUAAGUAUUCGUUUGGCCAUAAAACAAAUGUUUAUUUUCUAGGGAUUAUUUUUCUUUUUUAAAUUAAAAAAUUAGUGUUUGGCUUUUAUUUAAGUACACAUAUGUCCAUAUUGAUAGGGUUUACAACACACAGUAUUUUACCAAAGAGCAACAUAUUCAAUAUAUUUAUUUUCAUAAUAAAACCAAAUAUGAAGGAUAAAGUGCAUAAAAUUUAUAUUUCUACGUUAACAGAUACAUAGAGUAGAGAGAUUGUUUUCAAUAAAUUUUUGGCUAAAACUAAAGUAAUUGGUUAGAAAAAAAUUAAUAUAAAAAUAAGAGAUAAUAAAAAAUAACACAAUAAAUACUGACAGAAAAAAGAUUACCACAAAGUAGUGUUAUAAUUAAUUUAUCUGAAACAACAACAUUAUCAAAACUUCAAAACUAAAGACACUACGGAAUCAUUUGAUGGAUAUACAGAAUAAAUAAUUUCAAAAUAAAAUGAAAAAUUAUUUUAUUUCAUAUUUGAUGUGAGGUAUUAAUUAGUAUCGAAAUUCCAUAAAAGUCAUCCUCAUCUUUUCCUAAUAACUUCAUUAAUUUACCUCUUUUAUCCCUAUCAGCACAUUCAUCGUCGCCGUUUUCAAUUUUACUACUUUUGUCCUCUGGGAUACAAGGAACUUUAUAGCACCGCGCUGCAUUUUAUACUGUACGGCUACUCUAUUACAUCAUCAUUAAUUUUUUAUUACUUUCUCCGUUUCAUUUGGUGUGAUCAUUUUUUUUAAUUCAUUUUAAAAAACAUAUCAUACUUUUUUAUUUAAUAAAUAUUUAAAAACAUAAUUACAUCUUUAUCUUUAUUAAACCCACUUAAUUAAAAAUAAAUAGCGACACAUUUUUAAUAAAAGACAACCUGAUAAAUAUUUUUUAUUUUUUUAAUUUUGUGCCCGAUCAAAUAACACAUAAAAUGAGAGGGAGAGGGAGUACUAAAUACUACCCUUCUCUACUAGUAUAUGACUUGUGAAUCACAUAAAUUAUGUAUAUUUCUUUUGUAAAAUAGAAAAAUAUCACACAAACGUAAGAGCAACGAAUCAAUAGGAGUACAAAGGAGAAAAUCGUCUUUCUUUGUUUUCCUCGCAUUAAAAACAGAAUUUAUACUGAUAAUAUAUUCAAUACUGUAUAAUAGCGCAUGGCAGAAAACAGAAAUACAAUUUGUUUGUUCUAGCAACUUUCUUUGCUUCAAUAAUUAAAUGGGCUAAAAUUAAGCUAAUUGUGUGUGAGUAAUUCUACUGUAUUUUUGGCACUUGGCUGGGUAGACAGUUCAAAUGAGCAAAUUAUAUAAGGAUGAUGUAAAAUUUCCAAAUUCUACCAUCUGAAAACACUUGAUUCUAAAGUAUUGAAUUUCAAAUUUAGCUUUCCUAUUUUUAUGCUGUGCUGCUUUCUGGUUUUCAGAUGUACAAACUAACGCUACCAUUCACAUAACCAAAAAAGUUUCAUCAGUUCAUAGAGCGGGUAAGGAUUCCUGCCGCCAUGAAAAUUCAGAAAAAUCCGACGGCUCCGGGUAAUCAAACAACCCGCCGACUGUUAAAAAGUCGCCGUUGCUAUUACCUCCGUCAUUAUCUCCUUCCCUGAGGUCAUGCUCCAUGCCAAAAUCGAACGUGUCGUAAUUAGGCAUAUCGUCCUCAAAUCUCGCCAUGUUAACGAAUUCAGCUGCCUCAGGCAUGACGUCAGAUUCGGCAUUAACGUUGUGAUCGUUUACCGGAGAUAUUGUCGGAGGUAGACCGAGCUCAUCGUCGGAAGCUUCGAGAAGGUAACCGAGGUCCGUUUGAGAUUCGCCGGAUUCCGAUGGAUUCAGAUCGAGAACGGUCUGAGAAUCGUCGUGAAGAGGUGAGUGAUGAAGGAUUUCUUCCUCAAAACUCUUCAUGACGGAAUCCAGAUCCUGAAUCUCCGGCGGACAUUCGUUCAGAGCAUCAGGCUCAUCUAAGAUAUCCAAUAUAUCUUCUCUUAUCUGCUUAGCCUCCGGCGAAUCCAGGUACACAUCUUUUCGCACGUCAUCGGAAUCCGAUGAGUUGACUCGGUUCAACUCAGACGAGUCGGGAGCGGUCUUCUCUAGCUCUGAUGAGUUAACUCGCUUGGGCUCAGGCGAGUCAUCAAAUGCGUCCAAUCCUGACUCAAUUCGGGUCCGCUUAUUACUGUUAUUAUUUUUCUCAGUUUUCAACUCUUUUUUCAUGUUGAGACAAAAGCCUUAACAACUGAUGUGAAGAGAUUUCUCAAAAUUAUAAAAUCCAAGAAUAGGACAAUAGGUGGGGGCUAGUGGGGUAACUACUCUAGGCACAAAGUCUAGAAAGAUAAAAUGAGCUUUGGAAAAAAAAAGAGGGAAGGGCAAAAGAGAGAUAUUUGCUUUUGGUAGUUGUAAGUCCUUGUUUGGUUAUAGGAAAGAAGAAAGAGAGCGAAGAGGGAAAAAUAUUUUGAAGCAAUGAAGGAGAUAAGGAAGGGGAAGAUAGUUUAUAUAGUGGGAGAGAAAAGGAGGGGGACCAAAGGGUGAGAGGGAUAAGAUUUGGUUGUGUGUGUGAGAGAAGGAAGAGAGAGAAGGGGAGAAACGAGACAAAAGAUGCUGUUUUCAGGUUGAGAUGCAAAGGUGGAGAGAA